This 3360-nucleotide long non-coding RNA is filed under the name Homo sapiens (human). RNAcentral describes it as "non-protein coding MALINC1:67". Lineage: Eukaryota; Metazoa; Chordata; Mammalia; Primates; Hominidae. The record is from RNAcentral.
GUCCCUCCGUUUUAGCUGCCGCCGCGGCGGCCGCCGAGCGCGCUCUUUCCGCCCCCUUCUCGCGCGUGAGCGCGCCCUAUCGGCUCCUGGCGCGUCAACAUUCCGCGGGCCAGGCCUUGGGGCGCGUCUGAGGAGGGGGAUGUCUGUGGCCUCUCCGCCCACACUUCCUCCACCCACCGCCCACAGCGCCCCAGAAGGACCUAUUACUCGUUUGGCUUCUGAAGGCCGAAGCCAGGCUCUGGCGGGGAUAGAACCCUGAAGGGCCUGCGCCAGCUCCAACUUAGGGCCCUUAUCUUUUGCUGCCUCUUACGUAUUGUAGGCAGUGCCUGAUGGCUGAGAAGAAUCGCAGAGGACUAGAAAAGGUUUGAGUCUGAAAUUAUCUGGCACAGAGGAUUAAAGCUCAGAAAUAAGUGAUUGCGAAACAGUUCAACUUCCCUGUUAAUGACAACAACAACAGCAACACGCUUAUUAAUUCCUAGCUGGAGCAUCAAGCUUAUGAAGAUUUCCAAGACUUUAUUGUUGACCCUUGUUGAAGAGAACUCUACUUGGCUUCUUUCCUGGCUUUCCUAAAUUGUUCACAUACAAGAUAAACUACCGUCAUUCAGACUUACAGAAGUGAGAAGACAAGCUGAACCAAAUGUAAAAUGGUAGCAAUUUACAGAUGUCAGAACUAACAUGUGGAUGAACUUAGAGAUGGAGAAGAAAGCUGGGCUUUUCCAAAGAGUGGAUCUAUCUGAACUGGAUAGCACUAUUGAACUUUGUUGCAUAUUUUGUGGUAGCUCUAAAACUCCUCUGCUUGCUUACAUACAACCAGACACCAGUGCCUUCUGAAGCUAAUCCAGGCCAUUUUUAUAACCUAAUGCAGUAGCACUUUGCAAUUAGAUGAAGAAGAUCGGUGGGAUUUCUUUCUGUGGUGAUUAAAAUGUGUCAGGGGAAGAAAUCAAGACAAUACUCCAAGUGAAAAAUAUAAAGUCAGUUAUUUCUUUAAUAUUUUGUGUUAUAGUAAUCAUUUUUAUAUUUUGAGCAUACUUUUUCUUGUCUACUUAAAUACUCAAAAUUAAUUAUAAAAUGUAAAUGUAAGCACAAUGAGAUACCAUCUCAUCCCAGUUAAAAUGGCUUUUAUCAAAAAGAUAGGGAAUAAUGAAUACUGGUGGAAGGAUGUGGAGAAUGGGGAACCCUCGUACACUGUCAAUGAGAAUGUAAAUUAGUACAGCCACUAUGGAAAACUGUAUGGAAGUGCCUCCGAAAACAAAGUAGAACUACCAUGUGAUCCAGCAAUUACACUAGUGGGUAUAUAUUCAAAAGAAAGGAAAUCAACAUAUUAAAGAGAUAGCUGCAUUCUCAUGUUUAUUGAAGUCCUGUUGAAAUAGCCAAAAUAUGGAAUCAACCUAAGUGCCCAUCAGUGGAUGAAUGGUUAAAGAAAAUGUGAUUGAUAUGCAAUGGAAUAUUAUUCAGCCAUAAAAAAGAAUGAAAUCCUGGCGGGGCACAGUGGCUCAUGCAAGUAAUCCCAGCACUGACCUCAUGAAGACAGAGAGUAGAUUGGUGGUUACCAGAGGUUGAGAAGGGGAGAGGAGAGGAGGGAUGAAGAGAGGUUGAUUGAUGGAUAGAAAUAUACAGUUUGAUAAUGAUAAAUCAGUAGGGUGACUAUAGUUUAUAAUAACCUAUUGUAUGGUUCAAAAUAGCUAAAAGAGAAUAAUUGAAAUAACGUAAGACAAAAAUUUAAGAUGAUAGAUAUCCCAAUUACACUGAUUUGAUCUUUACAAAUUAUAUGAAUGUAUUAAAUUAUUACAUGUAUCCCCAAAAUAUGUACAAGUAUUUUGUAUCAAUAAAAAAUAAAAUUUAAGAUAAAGUAAAUGUAAUGAUUAGCUUAUAUUUCCUAGAUCGGAAAUAAAUAUUUACUUAAGUAUGUUUAUGAUGAAGAGUUUUUUUAUAUUACUAUAAAAAUAGACACCUUACAUAAACAUAUUACAGUUGGUGUUUAGAUGGCUCUUUUUUUUCUGGCCUUGAAUUUCUGGAAAGUAGGUAUGGCCUGCUAUGUCAGGACUAGUUCUUGGAAUUCUUUGUUGUUUUUCAGUCAGCCUUAUUUUCUUGGGUCAUGUUUUGAACAAUAUUUAUCAAAUGUCUGUUUACCAGACGUUGUUCCAGAUGCUUGAACAAAAUGAAAUGUCUGCUGUCAUAGAGUUUCCAGUCUAUGUAAGACAGUAAACAAAUGUAUAAUAUAAUGCUAGAUAGUGAUAAGUGCUAAAAAGAAGAAGAAAAUAGGAAAGGGGAAAGAGAGUUUCUGUGUGAUUGUAUGUGAAAGUGUCCAUGCAUGCCGCUCACCCAGUAUUUUAAAUAGAGUGAUCAAGGAAGCCUGUCUGAAGAAGUAACAUUUGAACAGAGAUCUGAAAUAGUCAGUCACGGGAACAUUUAGGGAGAUGUUCCAGGCAGGCAUUGUGGACAAUUUAUGUCACAAAAAAGUCACCCAAGUGUUAAGUCAAGUAACAUCCUGUAUGAUAACUAUAUAUACAUUUUUUUGUUUUUUCUUAAGUGAAAAACAAACUUAUUAGGUUUUCUGGGUACUCAUUAGGUUUUCAGAAAAGUUUUUCAUUUAAUAUCAUUAUUGCUGUAUAUUUCCCUUAAUGAUUAUUCUAUUAUUUAAUACAUAAGAUUUAUGGCUCUACAGAUACAGCUUCACAAUCCCUUAUCUGUAAUUCCAAAAUACAAAAAAAUUUCUUAAUUCAUUUAGUGGCAAAAUCUGAACUGACAUGAAUCUAUUUAAAAUUAUCCUUUAUGGGCCAGGUGCAGUGGCUUACGCCUAUAAUCCCAGCACUUUGGGAGGCCAAGGCAGGAGGAUCACUUGAGGCCAGGAGUUUGAGACCAGCCUGGCCAACAUGGUGAAAUCCCAUUUCUCCUAAAAAUACAAAAAUUAGCUGGGUGUGGUGGCACAUGCUUGUGGUCCCACCUACUUGGGAGGCUGAGGCACGAGAAUCACUUGAACCUGGGAGGUGGAGGUUGCCGAGAUCUUGCCACUGCACUCCAGCCUGGGUGACAGAGCGAAACUCUUGUCUCAAAAAAAAAAAAAGUAUUUAUUCCAUUUAGUGUGACUACUGAUACAUUUCAUUGUAGAAACAUUAGUGUGUUUGAUGAAGGGUUGCUACACAUUAAGUAAAAUAUAGAUAAUACAAUGUAUUGUACCCUAAAAUAUAAAAAAAAUUAAAUCCAGAAACACGUGUUCCCAAGAAUUUUGGAUAAGGGAUUGUAGAUCUGUGUCAGAUUUCUUCUUGAUUUUCUGAUUAAAUGUUACCAUUGUUGUUAAUCUUUAGAUACAUUGUUUUUAGAAGUAUAAUGCUAUAUAGUGCCCUUAUUAUAUACUGGCAU